AGUCCCAAAUACUUAGCAAAAUUAGGUCUUCUCUCCAACCAAAAUUAGGUCUUCUCUACAAAUAACUUCAAUCUUCAAUCUGAAAAUCCCUAAAUCCUCCGAUAUCGCCGCCCACGCCCUCUCUCUGGCUCCUCAGUCCACCCACGCCCUCCGUCCGGUAGCCUCCCCUUGCCGCCAACAGCCACAGCAACAGGGUCGCCAUCGCCAACCGCUCCUCGCCGCUCGCCACCGACCACCGUAGUCCAUACGCAGCCACGCACUCACUCUCCUCGCCACCGACCACCGUAGGAACGCCGUCUACCACCAGUGACCAGUCGGCAGUCUCCUUGCUCCUCGCCACCGUAGCCUCACGCCGUCUACCACCAGUGACCAGUCUCCUCGCUCCUCGCCACCGUAGCCUCACCUUCGUCUACCACUGUUGUACACCGACCGGCAACCAGAGAGCUCAAUGGUACUAUAGAGCCAAGGACACUGUGUACUUGAAUCAUUUCCAAAUUUGCAGAAGCUAAAGAGGAUAGUUCUGAAAUGACUCUCCUGGAUAUGUAUUCUGGUUGUGGAGCAAUGUUUACUGGAUUAUGUCUAGGAGCUAAUAGUUGUGGUGUUAAUCUGGUUACUGCAAGUUAUAAUUUCUUUUGAAAAUUUAUCUUUGCUUGUCAAGUUGGUAAAUUGUAUUAAAUUUUCAAUUGAUAUAAUGAUGCUAUAUUUAAUUUGGCAAAGAUCAAUGGAAGAUUGCUUUUCAGUUCUGUUGUAAUUGUGAUUCUGUACUAAGUGAUGUCUUAGUUGAAUUAUAUCCUUAGUUGAUGGUGAAAUGAAAUUUGAAGAAAAUAAUUAAUAAGAAAACAAAAAAAUUACAGUGUUGGAGGCGUUAUGAACAUAAGAACAUUGUGAUUUGUUCUCCUGUAUGUAUUCAUCAAGGAUACUGUUUAUUAUAGAGUGUAUUUGUGGUUGAUAUUAUAAGGUAAUAAUAGACUUAUAUUAUGUGAUAAGAGGAAUAGAUGUUUUGGUGAAUAUGGACUGAUGUUUUGAAACUUUUUAAUUUGUUUGCAUAUCAAUUCCAUCCCAAUUUGGAUUAUCUGCCUGGUAGGAACUAGAAACAUAGAUUCUUGUUUUGAUUUCUAUUUGCAAUCCAUCUAAACUGAAUCACAAUACAGGUCAAGAAGGUUGUGAAGGUUUCUCGUGCUAUCUGCAUAAUGAGUCAUCCUAUCCCCCCCACACAUGACUCUCAUUCUGCUCAGGUUAUUUUUCCACAAAAACAACUUAGUUGCAAAUCAGACAUUUAUUAUUAUCAGGUGUUAGAAAUGCCAUCCAAAUUGCUGCAUUAUUAGCUAAGGAGCAGAUCUGCAGUUCAACACUGCUAGGGCGUAUAUUGAUGCUCCCUUGGUGGAUUUUGGUACCUUUUUGGGUGCUCAAUUGUGCUGACUCAACAUGAUGAAUUGGAGGCUAAGUUUCUUGAAGAGAGAGCAACACUUGAAGCCAAGUAUCAUAUGCUUUAUCAACCACUAUAUACAAAGAGAUAUGAAAUAGUGAAUGGUAUAGUUGAAGUUGAAGGUGAGAAAGCUGAAGCAGUGCCGGAUUUGAAGGAGGUUGUGGAUGCUGCAUUGAUCAAAGCCAUUGAAGCAGUGCCGGAUUUGAAGGCUUAAUUGGGUGCAGCGAGCAUACUUAUGUAGUAUCAAAUAAGUAUAUUUUCAUACUUAAGUAGUACGGAGUAUGAAUCAAGUAGUAUAUAUUUUUUAUGUUUUUUUUAUG
Ipomoea nil (Japanese morning glory) is the source of this 1746-nucleotide long non-coding RNA. RefSeq lists it as uncharacterized. The transcript is spliced from 5 exons. NCBI's taxonomy places the organism in Eukaryota, Viridiplantae, Streptophyta, Magnoliopsida, Solanales, Convolvulaceae. The record is from RefSeq and is a predicted model, not a curated record.